ACGCACGCUGGCGGCGUGCCUCAUCCCUUCCAGUCGCACGCUUCUUUCCUCCCGAGUGCUUGCACUCAAUUGGAAAGAGGAGUGGCGGACGGGUGAGUAACACGUGGGUAACCUACCCAUCAGAGGGGGAUAACACUUGGAAACCGGUGCUAAUACCGCAUAACCGUUUAUGCCGCAUGGCAUAAGAGUGAAAGGCGCUUUCGGGUGUCGCUGAUGGAUGGACCCGCGGUGCAUUAGCUAGUUGGUGAGGUAACGGCUCACCAAGGCCACGAUGCAUAGCCGACCCGAGAGGGUGAUCGGCCACACUGGGAGUGAGACACGGCCCAGAGUCCGACGGGAGGCAGCAGUAGGGAAUCUUCGGCAAUGGACGAAAGUCUGACCGAGCAACGCAGCGUGAGUGAAGAAGGGUUUCGGAUCGUAAAACGCUGUUGUUAGAGAAGAACAAGGACGUUAGUAACGGAACGUCCCCUGAGGGUAUCGAACCAGAAAGACACGGCUAACUACGG
This 506-nucleotide ribosomal RNA is filed under the name uncultured bacterium. RNAcentral's name for it is "partial 16S ribosomal RNA". It matches the Rfam family "Bacterial small subunit ribosomal RNA", at positions 29 to 506 of the family's 1533-position model. The record is from RNAcentral.